AUGGGAGCCAACAGUGCUGCCCUGACAACACCUAAGUGGAAUCAGUCAGAUAUUCCACAGAACAACAUCCAUGUGGAUCAUGCAAUAUUCUCUAAUUCCAGAAGAGGUGAAAUUCAGCUGGAUAAAGAAAAACAUAUGAAACGAGCAGAGUCUAAUGUGGAAAUACAAGCGAGCAGGAGUGAGAGGACCCAUGGUAAACCAUCUGGUUAUGCCGAAGGGAAUUCUCCAAGAGUUCGGAGCAAAACAGACCUGUACCUCUAAGUCAGAACUUAGGAAGAACCCGGUACUACUGUAGUUCUCUGACUGUGAACUACAAAGUAACCUGUUUUGGCAAGCCAUGUGUUUGGACGACAUUCUGCAGGAGACACAACAUAUCCACAGCAGAGGUCUUGGUGUCCCGUGGAAAUGCCCACGCCUGCGCAGCCACAAGCUGUGCUGCGGGACGUCCGCUGCCCUUGCAGACCAGCGCACGGUGUAACUGGUAUGGAGAAGAGAUGGUCUACAGCAGCUAUUAAAAUGAAGACUUGGUAAAAAAAAAACUCUUUUCACUCCUUAGCCAGGAUUCUGGCAUUCAAAAUUUUUAAUAAAUAGUACAAAUUUUUUAGCUCA
RNAcentral lists this long non-coding RNA (609 nucleotides) under Numida meleagris (helmeted guineafowl). RNAcentral's name for it is "lncRNA (ENSNMEG00000017740.1)". Lineage: Eukaryota; Metazoa; Chordata; Aves; Galliformes; Numididae. The record is from RNAcentral.